This 74-nucleotide transfer RNA is filed under the name Planctomycetota bacterium. RNAcentral describes it as "Planctomycetes bacterium tRNA-Val". It matches the Rfam family "tRNA". Rfam says of the family: Transfer RNA (tRNA) molecules are approximately 80 nucleotides in length. Their secondary structure includes four short double-helical elements and three loops (D, anti-codon, and T loops). The record is from RNAcentral. Lineage: Bacteria; Pseudomonadati; Planctomycetota.
GGGCGUUUAGCUCAGUUGGCUAGAGCGCCACCCUUACAAGGUGGAUGUCCGGGGUUCGAGUCCCUGAACGCUCA